Molecule: long non-coding RNA, 2648 nt
Organism: Sciurus carolinensis (gray squirrel)
Lineage: Eukaryota; Metazoa; Chordata; Mammalia; Rodentia; Sciuridae
Exons: 3
Source: RefSeq, a predicted model, not a curated record
UCCUUUUUAAAAGCCAUUAACAGGGUGGCAGGGGAUCUGAGGAGCAAAGGGGAGUCUCUGUGCACUGUGUCCACCGACCGUCCCUCUCCCAACCUCCCUGAGUCCUUCUCAGGGUUCCCUUGCGCGGAGCCGCCCAGGAGGGCAUUCCCCGACCUGGCGCCGCAGUUGUCAGGCCAGGGCUGGGGGCUCCAGGGAGAAGGGUGCUGCCUCUGGCGUCCUUCUCCAGCCCGGGAGCUGCUGCUACGAUCCCGGUCAUCAGCUCUGUUGGAGCGAAGACUUGCCAAACCAGAGCGCUGGUCGGUAUUGUUUUUCUAGAACAGCAGGGCUGUUAUUACAAGUGUUCUGGAAGGGAGAAUAAGAAAGCUAAAAAGGGAUUCCGCAGCAUCGUAAAAAUAGCCAGUAAUAUGGGAAUUGACGGACCGGCGAGCAGAGAUCCGGAUGCAUGGACGCGGCAGGGCGUUUUUGAACCACUGUUUGGCCGGCUGUCCGCCCACUUAGCACCUCCUCCCACACAGUGUCGGCAUGGCCAGGGUGGAGGCCUUGAGGAAAGGCCAGACUGCAGGCCGGUUCCCACCUGGGCUGCGAGGAUGCUGCCCUUUGCGGGCGGGCGCGCCAGCCGGGGAGGGAAAGCCAGCUUGCUAACUUGUUGAGUGGAGCUGAAGUCCUGUCUGCUCAGAGGGAUUACUGCUUGAUGCUACGACACUCUGUACAAGCUUCCUGACUGGCCGGCUCGCUGUCUUGGGAAUGUGGCUUCCUUCCACCAAGUGAUCAACCCCAACUGACUGACUCUUCCCGCAAGGCUGCCAGGCCCUGUCUGCUCUUUGGCAGACCUUGGCUCUAUAAAGGAGUCUCACAACACCCUAAGGAGGGAAUUUCUCUCACUUUUUCCACAUACAGACUCAAAAGCCCACAGUGCACAUUCCUAAUCGUGUACCAUGAGCUGCUCUGGUCACAGAAGGAAAAUGAAGCUGGAGCAAAAGGAAGGGUCCAGAUACCUGUCGGAUAGCACUGAGAGCAGCUCUCCAUGUGUUCUCUCCUGGUUCCCCCCAGGGAGGGAGGCACUUCCCUCUGUGGACCUAGACAGUCUCUGGCCUGUGACUGUGGACAGAAAUGGUUGGAGCAUUCAACCCUGGUGACGCAUCUCCAUAACUUCCCUCUGCCGAAGUGAGGUACUGUUUGAAAUGGUGGCAGCUCCAACAACCAGAGUCCACAGUGGACAUGAAGGGCACAUCCCUUUGCUAUCUGAUUAUGAUUGUGUAGACUGGGUAGAAGCUCAUUCUCCUGGGGCUUUUUCCUUACUGUGGCACCCCCUAGCUUAUCCUUGCUGAGACUCCCCGGUAAGGAAUUUGCACUUGCUCUGGGAACAUGUAAAGGCCCUGGAGAGUAAUGGAGUUCCCAAGACCACCUUGCUCAAGCUCAUUGGGGUUUUAAACACGAGUAAGCUCACUAAUAGGGUCAGUCUUAAAUAUAUUCUUAGAAACUAAGAUUUUAAGCAUUGUGAUUAUAUUCUUCAGCAAAAGAUACUUUAAUCAUAGUCCAGUAACAUCUCUCUGGGUAAUAAAAGAAGCACAUUUAUUUUCCUUCAUUUCCUAAAAGUUCUCAUUUCUAGUUGAUCACGUUGGGCUUUCUCUACUGGCCCAUGGUCCUGUCUAGUCCUGUGGUCGGCCUGACUGUAAAGUGAAUCAGUACAACACCGGACUCCACCUUUGGCCCAGUGUAGCUGGAAGAGAGAGAACGACCCGGUAAAGAAGGGCAUCCGGGGGACGGAAGGCCACCGGGGAGCACUGAGGGAGUACAGUUGUGCCAGGCAGGGUGAGUCAUCCCUCUGGCCUGACACUGCCAUCCGGACACACAGCCUGACCUCCUCCUAGCCCCAAGAGGCUCGGCUUUUUCACUCACGAUUUGAUCUCUAUAAAUAAUCUCAACGUCACGUUGAUCUUCAGUGGACCUUCCUUCCUUGCACAUGUGCGUGGUGUGCAUUAUGGACCGCUUGUUUGCAUCCCCCAGAAUCCCCGGGUUGAAGCCUGCGCUCCACUGCAGUGAUACCAAGAGAUGAAGCUUUGGGAAGUUACUAGGUUGCGAGGGUGGAGCCCUCUUGAGGGGUUAGUGUCCUUCUAAGAGGAGACACGAGCGCUGCCCUCUCUCUCUCUACCGGUGAGGUCAUAGCAAGGAGAAGCCCAUCUGCAAACCCAAAGGUGGACCUCACCCUCCACCAGACCUGCUGCCACCUCGUUCUUGGGUUCCCCAGCCUCCAGAGCUGUGAGGAAUACGCACACGUUUCCGUCACCCGGUUGUGGUAUUCUGUUACAGCAUCCCAACCUAAGACAGUGGGUUUAAGAGAAUGGGAAUAUCUGGACCUGAGAGCAGAGCCUGUAGUCCAGGGGUUAGCAAUUGACAGCCAGUAGGUCAAAUUCAGGACCAAAUGCAUUUGUGAAUAAGGUUUUACUGGAACACAGCCACAUGCCUGCCAGUUGGCAUGACGUCCCUGGCUGAUUUUACAUCUCCGUGGCAGUCGAGUAGUCAGCCCCUUCACAUGAAGAGUGUGUCAGGGGCUGAGGUUGUGGCUCAGUGGGACAGCACUUGCCCAGCCUGUGUGAGGCACUGGGCUCCAUCCUCAGCACUGCAUAACAAUAAAUAAAUAAAAUAAA